CUUUAACGGAGAGUUUGAUCCUGGCUCAGGACGAACGCUGGCGGCGUGCCUAAUACAUGCAAGUCGAGCGGACUUGAUGGAGUGCUUGCACUCCUGAUAGUUAGCGGCGGACGGGUGAGUAACACGUAGGUAACCUGCCCAUAAGACUGGGAUAACCCACGGAAACGUGAGCUAAUACCAGAUAGGCAUUUU
RNAcentral lists this ribosomal RNA (192 nucleotides) under Paenibacillus sp. cl6col. RNAcentral describes it as "16S rRNA. Bacterial SSU". It matches the Rfam family "Bacterial small subunit ribosomal RNA", at positions 1 to 183 of the family's 1533-position model. The record is from RNAcentral. Lineage: Bacteria; Bacillati; Bacillota; Bacilli; Caryophanales; Paenibacillaceae.